UACGAGUAGCCCGAGCGUUAUCCGGAAUCAUUGGGCGUAAAGGGUGUGUAGGUGGCAGUGUUAGUCAAUUGUUAAAACCUGGGGCUUAACCCCAGAAGUGCGAUUGAAACGGCACAGCUAGAGGAUGGCAGGGAUAGAUGGAACUCAUGGAGUAGGGGUGAAAUCCGUUGAUAUCAUGGGGAACACCGAAAGCGAAAGCAGUCUAUUGGGCCACGCCUGACACUGAAACACGAAAGCGUGGGUAGCGAAUGGG
RNAcentral lists this ribosomal RNA (253 nucleotides) under uncultured bacterium. RNAcentral's name for it is "partial 16S ribosomal RNA". It matches the Rfam family "Bacterial small subunit ribosomal RNA", at positions 524 to 776 of the family's 1533-position model. The record is from RNAcentral.